ACAUGACUGGACAGUAAUCAAGAUAAGAACAAACUAGAACCUGCAGAACUUGCUUUGUGGAGUUUGGUGUCAAAAAAUAUAUAUAUAUUUUUUUUACUGAUGAUUUUUGAGAGCGGUUGUAACCAAGGUUUCCAGAAGGGGAAGAAGUGGUGAAAUAAAGAAUUGAAGUACACAACAUGACCAAAGAUACGUGGACACCUGCUUGUCGAUCAUCUCAUUCCAAAAUCAUGGGCGUUAAUAUGGAGUUGGUCCCCCCCCGCUUGACAAAUCAAAUGACAAAACACUCAGCCCUCCAAGACUCAGGUCAGUCAAGAUGUUCCAUGACAUACUUUAGAAGAGAAGUAGGACACACCUCCGGUAAAUAAACUUACAUGGACUCUUGCACCCAGCAGGCCUUCAUGAGAAAUUACAUUUAGGUUAAUGACAUCACAAUGACAGGGAAUGACAUCAUAAUGACAGGGAAUGACAUCAUAAUGACAGGUAAUGACAUCACAAUGACAUCAUAAUGACAGGUAAUGACAUAAUGACAGGUAAUGACAUCAUAAUGACAGGUAAUGAC
Long non-coding RNA from Oncorhynchus tshawytscha (Chinook salmon), 559 nucleotides. Lineage: Eukaryota; Metazoa; Chordata; Actinopteri; Salmoniformes; Salmonidae. The record is from Ensembl.